GGGGCUAUAGCUCAGCUGGGAGAGCGCUUGAAUGGCAUUCAAGAGGUCAGGGGUUCGAUUCCCCUCGGCUCCA
Molecule: transfer RNA, 73 nt
Filed under: Gemmatimonadota bacterium
Lineage: Bacteria; Pseudomonadati; Gemmatimonadota
Description: Gemmatimonadetes bacterium (marine metagenome) tRNA-Ala
Rfam family: tRNA
About the family: Transfer RNA (tRNA) molecules are approximately 80 nucleotides in length. Their secondary structure includes four short double-helical elements and three loops (D, anti-codon, and T loops).
Source: RNAcentral